This 24-nucleotide non-coding RNA is filed under the name Arabidopsis thaliana (thale cress). Lineage: Eukaryota; Viridiplantae; Streptophyta; Magnoliopsida; Brassicales; Brassicaceae. The record is from RNAcentral.
AUCCAACCCUAUAAACUCAUCAUA